Echinops telfairi (small Madagascar hedgehog) is the source of this 198-nucleotide long non-coding RNA. RefSeq lists it as uncharacterized. NCBI's taxonomy places the organism in Eukaryota, Metazoa, Chordata, Mammalia, Afrosoricida, Tenrecidae. The record is from RefSeq and is a predicted model, not a curated record. The transcript has 3 exons.
AAUUUUGUCUCCUUGGGCUCUUUUGUUAGAAUGUUCUUUUAAAGAAUUUUUGAAGAGGAAGUUCUUUUUUUUUAAAUGGCUUUACAGAAUUCUAAAUAGAAUACAACUCGGCAUAAUGGAAAAAAAUGUUGGUCUGACUUCCAAAAAUACAGAACUAAGAGGAUUUACAGAUCAGAAUCUCAGUCCAACAAAAGGUAA